This is a long non-coding RNA of Papaver somniferum (opium poppy), 1334 nucleotides long. RefSeq lists it as uncharacterized. The record is from RefSeq and is a predicted model, not a curated record. Lineage: Eukaryota; Viridiplantae; Streptophyta; Magnoliopsida; Ranunculales; Papaveraceae. The transcript has 3 exons.
UCUUGUUCAUUCUUCUUUCCUCUUCUUCUCUGUCUCUCUUCUUUCCCUUCUUCUGCGAGUUUCGAUUGAGAGAAUCGAUUGGUGAUGUUGUGUAGAUGAUAAGGGAGACGUUAUUGUUGUGAAUCUUGAAGGAGAACAAUUAGAGAUUGUUAGGGUUUGAUUGAAGUGAUAAAUCAAAGAGAAUCAAAGAGAUGGGAUUCUGAGUUUGAGUUCGUAUGCAAUUGAAAAGCAUGUUGAGUCAUUGACAGAUGUAGAACAAAGGGGUUGAUGUUCAAUUGAUGUUCUGAAGUUGUUCUGAUGAUGAAUCAAAUAGAAAAGUUGGACUUGAUUAACAACGAUCGAUCCGAAGGAUGAAGUAGUGGAUGGUGGAUUUCGAGAUAGACGUGGUUGCCUACAAAACAGGUUUAGUAUUUGGGGCGUCACACGAGAGCACCUACCUUAAGUUCUCAUGGCUUGCCUUGCUGUUGAUUAUAACUAUUGGAGAUUGCUUUGUUGCUAUUAAUGCUCGCUCUACCACCGCUAACAAAUGACGAAGAGGAGCCAGAUGCUGCAGAUGAAAGCACGGAGCCGAACGAAUAACAAAAACAGAAGAGGGUCGAUACGUCGUUUCGUACGAACACAGUCUAUAGAUUUUGAACAGAAUAAGGAUUCCUUAUUGCUCGAUGAACGGGAAUAGAUGACUAGGUGCACCACAUUCAUGCUCCAUAGCCGAACAAGUACUGUGCCAAUAUCUCCGCUCCAUGACCGAACCAGAAAGCGCGCCAGCACGAAUAACACCAGUCGCUCAACCUACAAUGCUCCAUGGCACCAGCACUCCGUGGUCAGGCCAACUCUCUAUGGCUCCAGUACUCCGUGGUCAAGCCAACUCUCCAUGGCUCCAGCACUCCGUGAUCAAAGUCGUGUUAUCUCCGUUCAUCAUGUGACCUAGACGGAUCCAUCCUCACUGUUUGGUAGCCAAAGUUCCAAAUGCUUUUUCCACCAUUCCACGGAUUGAAGCCAGUUUUCAUCGCUCCAUGGACUGAAGCUAGGCACCAUUCACCUUUCCAUAGCCAGCAGCGCCACGGCCAAGCCAAGCCAACAGCGCCGACAACUCCACGACCAAGCCGAGCCAAGCCAGCAGCGCCAACGGCUUCACGGCCAAGCCAAGCCAGCAACGCCAACGGCUCUACGCCCUAGCCAGCACCAACAACUUGCAUCCUUCUCAGCGCCAACUUUUCCGCUCCUGACAAGUGUCAUCCGCAGCCCAAGUGAUGAGUGCUAAAAAGUGCAUAUUUCUAUAUAUUUUUUUCUUGGCAUUUAACUCAUCUUUUGUGCAUUAAUUCUACAUUUUAUCC